UGGGGAAUUUUGGGACAAUGGGGGAAACCCUGAUCCAGCCAUCCCGCGUGUGCGAUGAAGGCCUUCGGGUUGUAAAGCACUUUUGGCAGGAAAGAAACGUCGCGGGUUAAUACCCCGCGAAACUGACGGUACCUGCAGAAUAAGCACCGGCUAACUACGUGCCAGCAGCCGCGGUAAUACGUAGGGUGCAAGCGUUAAUCGGAAUUACUGGGCGUAAAGCGUGCGCAGGCGGUUCGGAAAGAAAGAUGUGAAAUCCCAGAGCUUAACUUUGGAACUGCAUUUUUAACUACCGGGCUAGAGUGUGUCAGAGGGAGGUGGAAUUCCGCGUGUAGCAGUGAAAUGCGUAGAUAUGCGGAGGAACACCGAUGGCGAAGGCAGCCUCCUGGGAUAACACUGACGCUCAUGCACGAAAGCGUGGGGAGCAAACAGGAUUAGAUACCCUGGUAGUCCACGCCCUAAACGAUGUCAACUAGCUGUUGGGGCCUUCGGGCCUUGGUAGCGCAGCUAACGCGUGAAGUUGACCGCCUGGGGAGUACGGUCGG
Molecule: ribosomal RNA, 542 nt
Filed under: uncultured bacterium
Lineage: Bacteria
Description: partial 16S ribosomal RNA
Rfam family: Bacterial small subunit ribosomal RNA
Source: RNAcentral